GGGUUGGGGAUCUUAGUGGUAGAGCACUUGCCUAGCAUGCACAAGGCCCUGGGUUUGAUCCCCAGUAUCCCU
RNAcentral lists this transfer RNA (72 nucleotides) under Marmota monax (woodchuck). Its description in RNAcentral is "tRNA.Ala". The record is from RNAcentral. Lineage: Eukaryota; Metazoa; Chordata; Mammalia; Rodentia; Sciuridae.